CUGACCUCAAAAGAUCCACCUACUUUGGCCUCCCAAAGUGCUAGGAUUACAGGCAUGAGCCACUGCUCCCGGCCCAGAAUGUUUUUAAUAGGAACUGGAAGAGGAGCCCUUUCCCAGGAAGGAGGUAGGGGGGCCAGCUGAGAGGUGGGAGCCAGGUCUCUGUCUCAUGGGGAAAGUUGGUUGAAGAGAAUUAAAUAGACCCAAGGACGCAAGAGUCAUGCAGGAAAAAUAAACUUUGACAGCAUUUAAGUCCCUGGAGAAGCACAAAGUCAGUGGUUCCAAGUGUGGGCUCAGAGUCAGACUGCCUAGGUAACCUUAUGAAACUGAACCUCUUUGAACCUGAGUUUCCUCUUCUGUAAAAGAUAAUAAUAGUACUUAACUCAUGGAGCUGUUGUGAGGACUGAAUGAAUUAAUGCAUGAGAAGCAUGCUGAACAGUGCCUGGCACAUGGUUGUCUCACAAUAAAUAUUAACUAUUAUCAGCUGCUCCAGUUGUCCAGGAGGCUCUCUCUACCCUCGUCCUGCCUUUGAUUUGGUGACUGGAGCAAAUGGUUUUCUCUUUUUGCCUAAGCUGGUGUUUGGUCUCAUUACUUGCAACCUAAGAACGGAGGAAUGUAGGAUUCCCCUAAAUUCAUCAAUUUCAUGAGUGGCUCUAUGAAAAAAAAAAAAAUGUCCACAGAUGAGAAAAUUGAAGCUCAGAGAAGCUAAGCAAUUUGACAAUGGCCCCACUGCCAACAUGUGGCAGAGCCAAGACUCAAACCCAAACUCAAAUCCUAUGCUUAUGUCAUGGUCAGGACGUUAUAAGAAGACAACACUGUACAAGUAAACAAAGCUAUCUAUCUUCUUGUGAAAAAUGGAGUCAUUUCUGAAAGCAAAUGCCAGGAGUACACAGUGAAGGCGUCUGGAUGAAUUCUAAGGCAUUCGGAAACACGCUAGUGUCUGGAAAGGCAGGUGGGGUCUCCGCAAUGCCCUGGUGUGGACUCGGCGCCUGUACUAGCCAGUGUGCGCUGCUACUGCACCUGAAGUGCCUGAGAGCUGUCUCCCCGUUCCUGACCUCAGGGGUUCCCUGCAACUGUAAAGCAAAAGCACGUGCAGCUUCCUGAAUUUCAUUCCCAGAGGUUUUCAUCUUUCCCUUAAAACAUUCCAGAAUUCAGAUUGAUUGAGUUCAUCAAUGCAGAGAAAUGUUCUUUAAUACUUGGCCCUCCUCACCGUGCACAUCCCCGCACCCUAAGGGGAGCUUUCCCUGUGGACAUGCUUGGAAGUAUACCAUGGAUUACAGUUGAUUUUGCUAGAAUUCCCAUGAAAUUUCCUGACUCUAGGACUUGCGAAACAUUGGAAAUUGAAGUUCUGUUGCCAGAGGGGUUUGUGGAAUUUUGUUCUGUGGAAACAGAAUUAUGGAAUUUUAAGGCUAGAAGAAAUCUUCCAAGUCCACUCCUACCAAAGGCCGGGCUGAAUGCAAACCCUCGCUGACAGAUGCUGUGGCUGAAACAUGCUUCUCCUUCCCAGCCUGUAGCUUUCACCCCCAAACAGACACGUGUAAGAAGAAAAUUCAUAAAUAUUUCCUUUACCCAAUUCUCUUCUUCAUCUUUUCAGUUUAUUAUUUCUUUUCCUUUUGGAAACAGCAACCACGCUCAGGUUUUCUAUCUGGAUUUCACCCCGUCCUUGCUAAAUCAAAAAGCGUAUAUGAAAAAGUAACUACGAUGGGACUGAGAAGAAGGGGAGCAGGUAGGCUGGUGAGGACUUGCUUCCUCAGUCGGCGCUGACUGCUGCCGGCAGGAGGCUCCCACCUCCUCAGAACCCCCAGGUCUGUUGCCCGCCCUGAGCCCAAGAGGAAACAGUGGCCUGAAUCUGCAGCACCGACCUCUCCCUUCGGAUCGAGUGAUCAUGCUGUGCUGGCCUCAGCCAGAAGCUGCCUGGAGGGUGGAGCAAAGCAGAUGUUGAAAGAGAGGUGGGUUUGGAAUAAAAUCGUUGCGCAUGCCCUCCUUUCCUCGGACGCCUGUGUGGUUCAAAUGUGCCUGAGACCUCCAAAAAGCAAGCACAAGACUUAGCUGCAAAUCACUGUUUUUACCAAAAACUUAUGAACAGUAGCAGGGAAUUACUCUCGUCUUGGCUGUGCUGUGGGGAAUUAAGGGACAUAAGAAGGAGCACUGAAGCUGGGGUGGGGGGCAGGGGAAUAUGACUCCCCAUAAGGCAGAGGAGACCAUGACAGCUGUCAUUAAUAGGAGGGUGUAGGGAGAAAUGCGCCGGCAAUGGAGCAGCCUGCAGGGAGACUUCCUCCUCGUGGCCUCCUGGAGAACCUUGGGUGGAUUUUUUCCAGGGCACUGGUGGGUUGCCUGACAGGUCCUCAAGUGAAAAGAAGAGUCAACCUUUCCUUUUUGGCUCCCAAAACAUAAACUAGGGUGACCCUAUGGAGCAAUAAACUACAGCUCAAUAUAUAGAGAGUCAUUCGAAAAAUUACAGACUUCCAAAGACAGAAUUGUCUCCUGAAGCCAUAGUGACCUCCCAUUGUCUCAAAUGUCCACACAGAAAGUCAUUGUGUGGGGAAGCGAAGAACAGGUGGAGUGCAGAGGAUCUGGGAGCUGUGGAAAUACUCUGUGUGAUACCAUGAUGGUGGACAUGUGUCAUUAUACAUUUGCCCAAGCCCACAGCAUGUAUGGCACCGCGAGGAAACCCUCAGGGAAACUAUGGACUCUGGGUGAUGAUGGUGUGUCAAUCGGUAGGUUCGUCCAUUAUAACAAUUGCUCCACUCUGGUAGGGGAUGUUGAUAAUGGGGGAGGCUGUGUAUGUGUCAGGCAGAAAACACAUAAGAAAUCUCUAUCUUCCUCUCAAUUUUGCUCUGAACUUAAACUCUAAAAAAAUUAAGUCUUAAAAAGUCAAUCUGAAAAGCAGGUAAGAGAAGGAAUUCCUUGGUCAGUUAUGGGCUUCAAUUGGUUGACCUGUGAGUUUCUUACAUAAAUUAGAGAAUACUGGAGCUAGAGAAGUACAUCUUAGAAGGUAAUCCUUCCAGACAUGUUGUUCUAAAACUUUGAUCUGCUUUCUUUCUAAACAACUAGACUUCCUUCUCUUGAGCUUGCUAAAAGAUGUGUCCCCUCCCUACCCUGCUCACCAAACUCUAUGAUGAACUGGUCAGCCCUGAAGGAAAACUAUAAAGAAUAAAAUGAAUGACUUCAUACGGGACUGGCCUUUGCAUUCAUGUCCAGAGCACAGAGGAAUCCAAUCACCAGGAACUUGUCAACUGACAGCAAAACUUAGACUCAGUUUCACAAAAAUGUCUAAAAGCUAUGUUAUACAAGGUUUUGGGCAAUAAGUGUAUCCUCUGAAAAUCUCAAAGUGAGGAUGUAGAAAAGUUGGAAUUCACAUACACUGCUGACCUGACAUGGAUGUAAAAUGGUACAGCAACUUAGAAAACAGUUUGACAGUUCCACAAAAUAUUAAGCACAGAGUUACUAUGGCCAACAAUGACCCAACAAUUCCACUCCUAAAGUCUUUGAACCACUUAUCAUUUUCCAAAAUUCUUCCAUGUAUUUGUUUGGUAGCUUGCUGUCUCUGUCAUCCACCAAAACUUAUCUGUCCAGUAGAAAGGCCACCAGCCACACUCCAAGUGUUCAGCAGCCACAUGUGGCAGUGGCUACUGGAUUGGACAGCACAGUACAAUCAUCACUGUCAGAAUGUCCUGUGGGAUAGCGCUGCACUGGCAUGCAAGCUCCAUUCAAGCAGGCUCCUUAUUUGUCUUGGUCGCUGCUAUUUCUCCAGCAUCCAGAACAGUGACUGACAUACAGUAGGCUCAAUAAAGGGUAAGUAAUGAAUGAAUGAGUUGAAUGAAUGAACUGAAGUUGAAUGAAUGAAUGGCACUUGGGUGGACAACACUGGAAAACGAGGUGAAGGAAUGCUGGAACAAUCCGAACAGGAGUGAAAAUGGAAGCAAGAAAAUAAAGUAUUUGUUUAGGUUCUUCUCCUCAUCUCUUUACUCCAAUAUUUUAUAAUUUAAUCAUGAUAGUCUUAAGAGAAUAUUUUAAUUAUUGGAUCUUAGUGUCUUUCCUAGUAUUCUCCUAUUGGAGAAUGUGUUGACUAACAUAAUUUGACAAAUGACAUACCAUUGUGAAAAUGUAUAGAAUGUUGUGAAUUUUUUAGUUUGCCAUUAAUUUCAUUUCCAAUUCCAAUAGGGAGUACUAUUGACAUGGUAGAAAUUUAGGUUGAUGAAGAGCCUUUGACUCCUAGAGAAUUUUUUAAUAAUCAUUCAUUUUUAUCAAACUUCAGAGGUCAUUCUUAUUUUAUAGCUUUUUUCUGUAAAUAAUACUGAGUUCUAAAAAUAGAAAUUAAAAGAUAAAAAUCAUAUAUUCAAUAAACAGGUGACAUUUCAUUGUUUUCCUA
Macaca mulatta (Rhesus monkey) is the source of this 4369-nucleotide non-coding RNA. Lineage: Eukaryota; Metazoa; Chordata; Mammalia; Primates; Cercopithecidae. The record is from RefSeq and is a predicted model, not a curated record.